This 390-nucleotide ribosomal RNA is filed under the name uncultured bacterium. RNAcentral describes it as "bacterial SSU rRNA". It matches the Rfam family "Bacterial small subunit ribosomal RNA", at positions 28 to 419 of the family's 1533-position model. The record is from RNAcentral.
GACGAACGCUGGCGGCGUGCUUAACACAUGCAAGUCGAGCGGUAAGGCCCUUUCGGGGGUACACGAGCGGCGAACGGGUGAGUAACACGUGGGUGACCUGCCCUCAGCUCUGGGAUAAGCCUGGGAAACUGGGUCUAAUACUGGAUAUGACUCCACGGUGCAUGUCGUGGGGUGGAAAGCUUUUGCGGCUGGAGAUGGGCCCGCGGCCUAUCAGCUUGUUGGUGGGGUGAUGGCCUACCAAGGCGACGACGGGUAGCCGGCCUGAGAGGGCGACCGGCCACACUGGGGACUGAGACACGGCCCAGACUCCUACGGGAGGCAGCAGUGGGGAAUCUUGCGCAAUGGGCGAAAGCCUGACGCAGCGACGCCGCGUGAGGGAUGACGGCCUGG